Molecule: long non-coding RNA, 989 nt
Organism: Salvia miltiorrhiza (redroot sage)
Lineage: Eukaryota; Viridiplantae; Streptophyta; Magnoliopsida; Lamiales; Lamiaceae
Exons: 5
Source: RefSeq, a predicted model, not a curated record
CUACCAUUAACCCAUUAAUUACAAUAGAUUAAUUCAAUUUAAUUUACAGAGAACUGUCUCCACUAACCCACCUCCACCAUUCAGCACAUAAUAUCACACCACGUAUGUGUACAUCAAAUUCUCGAUUUUAAUGAAAAAUCCCCAAUAUCCGAAAUCCUUUUCCUCAAACUCUCUUAUCUCCAUAACCGUCCAUCGCCUUUCCAUUACUCACCAAACUCAAUAUCAAAGACUCGGCCACUGUUCCUUCGCUCACCAGACUCGGUCACCAACCGCCGGCCUAGCGCCGCCGCCUCAGACCAACGUCGCCCAAAACGAUUUCAUAACCGCUCCUCAUCGUUCCAUCGCUCACCAAACUCAAUCGAAGACUCGACUGCCAUUUCUCGAUCGUCAAUCGCCGCCCUAGCGUCAUCGCCUCAAACCAGUGUCGCCCAAAACGAACUCCUGGACCGAUGCAGCCCUCCACGUGCGGCGGAUUCACCGUUUGGAAGGGUGUUGCGGUUGUGUAUUUCUCUGCACCAGCGGCACCUAUGGUUCGAAGGUACCUGAAUGCGUAUGUUCAUGGGUUGUCCUUAGAGGCAUUGAGAUUCUGAGUAUCAAUGUCUCGAAAGCCUGCACAAUUUCAACAACAUAUUGCAAUUAGGCAUGCAUAGUGAUAGAGAUACGAUCAUAUGAAAUGAUUAAGGAAUUCUGACCUGACACGAGAUGAGCAACCUGUUGCAGCUCCAUAUGGAAGUAGCAACACAACUGAGAUAAUGGCACCACGAGCACGGAUUGUUUAGAUCCUUUCCACGGACACUGUGUGUAUAAUUACUUUUAUGGUUAGAGAUUUAUUGGUCAUAACAGUCAAGCUCCCUGCAUAUAUUCAUACUUGUAAUUGCUUUACUAUUGUUGAUCUAUAUUACUUGGCUAUUGUUCGCCCUUUUGUAGUUUUAUUGUGAUUAAAACAAAUGAGUGAUGAUAAAUUUCAAUUUUUAAUUAUUUCGUUUUCA